This 406-nucleotide long non-coding RNA is filed under the name Rattus norvegicus (Norway rat). RNAcentral describes it as "long non-coding RNA NONRATT010737". The record is from RNAcentral. Lineage: Eukaryota; Metazoa; Chordata; Mammalia; Rodentia; Muridae.
GGUUAACCUCAUGUACCUGGAGACGCUUAAGGUUCAGUUUAAAGUAUGAGAACCAUCGUGUAUGUUCCUGGCUCUUGCCCAGGCCACAGAACUCAGUUUGCUCCUCACCUCAGCGCACUGGUUCCCACUCUGGCGUCAGGUUCAGUGAAGAACGCUUGCAGGGAACCAGUGGUCAGCACUACAGAAAAGGUGGUAUCAGGACUUGGGAGGCGGCCUGUGCUCUCUGAGCGUCGGGAGAGCUGGAUGCUUCCUACCUUCUUCUUACUGCGGUAUACCAAUCUCGCUGAAGGCUGUGCACACCUCCAUUUACUUAUCAUUUAUUUUGCUUGCUACGCUAGAAAGAUGCACUGACGGGACAAGAAAUAUAAAAUAAGCGAACUUAAUGAGAUAAAACUUAAAAUACACA